Molecule: ribosomal RNA, 440 nt
Filed under: uncultured bacterium
Lineage: Bacteria
Description: partial 16S ribosomal RNA
Rfam family: Bacterial small subunit ribosomal RNA
Source: RNAcentral
CCUACGGGAGGCUGCAGUGGGGGAUAUUGCACAAUGGGGGAAACCCUGAUGCAGCGACGCCGCGUGGGUGAAGAAGGGCCUCGGCGGGUAAAGCCCUGUUAGCAGGGAAGAAAAUGACGGUACCUGAAGAAGAAGCCGCGGCUAACUACGAGCCAGCAGCCGCGGCAAUACGUCGGGGGCAAGCGUUAUCCGGAUUUACUGGGGGUAAAGGGGGCGGAGGCGGCGAAGCAAGCCAGGAGUGAAAGCCCGGGGCCCAACCCCGGGACUGCUCUUGAAACUGCGUGGCUUGAGUGCAGGAGGGGCAGGCGGAAUGCCUGGUGUAGCGGUGAAAUGCGUAGAUAUAAGGAGGAACACCGGUGGCGAAGGCGGCCUGCUGGACUGCAACUGACGCUGAGGCCCGAAAGCGUGGGGAGCAAACAGGAUUAGAUACCCGUGUAGUC